Molecule: ribosomal RNA, 496 nt
Filed under: uncultured bacterium
Lineage: Bacteria
Description: partial 16S ribosomal RNA
Rfam family: Bacterial small subunit ribosomal RNA
Source: RNAcentral
AUUGAGCGCUGGCGGAAUGCUUUACACAUGCAAGUCGAACGGUAGAGGGGGCAACCCCUCGAGAGUGGCGUACGGGUGAGUAAUAUAUCGGAACGUGCCCAGUCGUGGGGGAUAACGUAGCGAAAGUUACGCUAAUACCGCAUACGAUCUAAGGAUGAAAGCGGGGGAUCGCAAGACCUCGCGCGAUUGGAGCGGCCGAUAUCAGAUUAGGUAGUUGGUGGGGUAAAGGCUCACCAAGCCAACGAUCUGUAGCUGGUCUGAGAGGACGACCAGCAACACUGGAACGGAGACACGGUCCAGACGCCUACGGGAGGCAGCAGUGGGGAAUUUUGGACAAUGGACGCAAGUCUGAUCCAGCCAUUCCGCGUGCAGGAUGAAGGCCCUCGGGUUGUAAACUGCUUUUGUACGGAACGAAAAGGUCUCUCUUAAUACGGGGGACUCAUGACGGUACCGUAAGAAUAAGCACCGGCUAACUACGUGCCAGCAGCCGCAGUAA